AUGCAAGUCGAGCGGACUUGAUGAGAAGCUUGCUUCUCUGAUAGUUAGCGGCGGACGGGUGAGUAACACGUAGGCAACCUGCCCUCAAGUUUGGGACAACUACCGGAAACGGUAGCUAAUACCGAAUAAUUGUUUUCUUCGCCUGAAGAGAACUGGAAAGACGGAGCAAUCUGUCACUUGGGGAUGGGCCUGCGGCGCAUUAGCUAGUUGGUGAGGUAACGGCUCACCAAGGCGACGAUGCGUAGCCGACCUGAGAGGGUGAUCGGCCACACUGGGACUGAGACACGGCCCAGACUCCUACGGGAGGCAGCAGUAGGGAAUCUUCCGCAAUGGGCGAAAGCCUGACGGAGCAAUGCCGCGUGAGUGAUGAAGGUUUUCGGAUCGUAAAGCUCUGUUGCCAGGGAAGAACGCUUGGGAGAGUAACUGCUCUCAAGGUGACGGUACCUGAGAAGAAAGCCCCGGCUAACUACGUGCCAGCAGCCGCGGUAAUACGUAGGGGGCAAGCGUUGUCCGGAAUUAUUGGGCGUAAAGCGCGCGCAGGCGGUCAUUUAAGUCUGGUGUUUAAUCCCGGGGCUCAACCCCGGAUCGCACUGGAAACUGGGUGACUUGAGUGCAGAAGAGGAGAGUGGAAUUCCACGUGUAGCGGUGAAAUGCGUAGAUAUGUGGAGGAACACCAGUGGCGAAGGCGACUCUCUGGGCUGUAACUGACGCUGAGGCGCGAAAGCGUGGGGAGCAA
RNAcentral lists this ribosomal RNA (736 nucleotides) under Paenibacillus sp. Sn26-040808. Its description in RNAcentral is "bacterial SSU rRNA". It matches the Rfam family "Bacterial small subunit ribosomal RNA", at positions 55 to 771 of the family's 1533-position model. Lineage: Bacteria; Bacillati; Bacillota; Bacilli; Caryophanales; Paenibacillaceae. The record is from RNAcentral.